RNAcentral lists this long non-coding RNA (540 nucleotides) under Sus scrofa (pig). RNAcentral's name for it is "lncRNA (ENSSSCG00005011013.1)". The record is from RNAcentral. Lineage: Eukaryota; Metazoa; Chordata; Mammalia; Artiodactyla; Suidae.
GCGACUCCAGCUCCAGACCGCGAGAGGGCGCCUUGCUUCUCACCAGCGGCCGCCACCAGUCUGCAACGACUGGACCUGCCCCCACCGCGGCGCGAUUUCGCUGGAGUUCGGGUACUGAGCGCCUGUCCCCCCCAGAGCCAGUCAGCGAAGAGCCCCGCGCCACCACUCCAGGAUAGAGGAAAGAAUCACCAUUGCCAAGAAUGGACUGAAGUUUCUGGUGGCAAGCCCAACAAGUAGAUAAGGAUUUUUCAGGAUCUCAUCAUCUGCUCCACUAUUCACGUGUGCUUCAAGACUAGGAUGAAAUGGAUGUCAAUAAGCUGUUUAUUCAGUUCCUGAUGCCAGUCAUAUUUAUCUUCUGUUUCCUUCACUUCCUCUGUACUCUGGUCCUGGAUGCCUUGUGGCUGACUCAUUAAAUUUCUUCUGUUCUUUCCAGGUGCAGGUAGGGGAAGGCGGGAAUGCCACCCCGGGCCUUGUGGGUAGAGGGUCCAUGCCAAAAGAAGCAAACCAAGGAGAACUGGGGCUGGGUUAUUUAAUCCCUGA